This is a long non-coding RNA of Manacus vitellinus (golden-collared manakin), 383 nucleotides long. RefSeq lists it as uncharacterized. The record is from RefSeq and is a predicted model, not a curated record. NCBI's taxonomy places the organism in Eukaryota, Metazoa, Chordata, Aves, Passeriformes, Pipridae. The transcript has 3 exons.
UUACAGUUGUAUUAGUUAUAGAUCCCAGAGCACAGUCUGGAAAUGGGAGUGUGGCAACACAGCAUCCAGAGAUGCCAAAUCCAAGAUCAGGCUCCUGUCCAGCUGCUGAAGAGGCUCCUCCAUCAGACCAUUCCUCACUUUCCUCCUCGCUUUUUCCACACCCACCAAAGUGAGAAGUGAAUGUUCCAUCACUGUCAUGGACUCACAACUUGUGGCCACACCACUGUAACAGGAACAGGAUAAGGGAUUUGUACUUAUCUGGCCAAGCUUUUCCAUUCGGAAGCAAGAGGAAUCAGCUGGAAAUUCAAACAACAGACCCAAAGCAAACCACAAAUGAGUCCAGCCCAAUGGAAGCACCUGCAGUGAUUUAACAUAAAAAUCUU